GCGGACGGGUGAGUAACGCGUGGGUAACCUGCCUUGUACAGGGGGAUAACAGUUGGAAACGGCUGCUAAUACCGCAUAAGCGCACAGCAUCGCAUGAUGCAGUGUGAAAAACUCCGGUGGUAUAAGAUGGACCCGCGUUGGAUUAGCUAGUUGGUGAGGUAACGGCCCACCAAGGCGACGAUCCAUAGCCGACCUGAGAGGGUGACCGGCCACAUUGGGACUGAGACACGGCCCAAACUCCUACGGGAGACAGCAGUGGGGAAUAUUGCACAAUGGGCGAAAGCCUGAUGCAGCGACGCCGCGUGAGCGAAGAAGUAUUUCGGUAUGUAAAGCUCUAUCAGCAGGGAAGAUAAUGACGGUACCUGACUAAGAAGCACCGGCUAAAUACGUGCCAGCAGCCGCGGUAAUACGUAUGGUGCAAGCGUUAUCCGGAUUUACUGGGUGUAAAGGGAGCGUAGACGGAGUGGCAAGUCUGAUGUGAAAACCCGGGGCUCAACCCCGGGACUGCAUUGGAAACUGUCAAUCUGGAGUACCGGAGAGGUAAGCGGAAUUCCUAGUGUAGCGGUGAAAUGCGUAGAUAUUAGGAGGAACACCAGUGGCGAAGGCGGCUUACUGGACGGUAACUGACGUUGAGGCUCGAAAGCGUGGGGA
This 651-nucleotide ribosomal RNA is filed under the name uncultured bacterium. Its description in RNAcentral is "bacterial SSU rRNA". It matches the Rfam family "Bacterial small subunit ribosomal RNA", at positions 98 to 767 of the family's 1533-position model. The record is from RNAcentral.